This 165-nucleotide ribosomal RNA is filed under the name uncultured bacterium. RNAcentral's name for it is "partial 16S rRNA". It matches the Rfam family "Bacterial small subunit ribosomal RNA", at positions 355 to 511 of the family's 1533-position model. The record is from RNAcentral.
UAGGGAAUCUUCGGCAAUGGGGGCAACCCUGACCGAGCAACGCCGCGUGAGUGAAGAAGAUUUUCGGAUCGUAAAGCUCUGUUGUAAGAGAAGAACGUGUGUGAGAGUGGAAAGUUCACAUAGUGACGGUAACUUACCAGAAAGGGACGGCUAACUACGUGCCAG